RNAcentral lists this transfer RNA (86 nucleotides) under Helianthus annuus (common sunflower). RNAcentral's name for it is "tRNA-Leu". It matches the Rfam family "tRNA". From Rfam's summary of the family: Transfer RNA (tRNA) molecules are approximately 80 nucleotides in length. Their secondary structure includes four short double-helical elements and three loops (D, anti-codon, and T loops). The record is from RNAcentral. Lineage: Eukaryota; Viridiplantae; Streptophyta; Magnoliopsida; Asterales; Asteraceae.
UGUCAGGAUGGCCGAGUGGUCUAAGGCGCCAGACUCAAGUUCUGGUCUUCGAGAGAGGGCGUGGGUUCAAAUCCCACUUCUGACAG